UGGAUACAGAUACAGUACUCAAAUAAUUUGGACGAUAUAAUUUCGAUUGUACUCAUUAAGCUGUGUUCACAAAAACAAAAUAUGCUCACGCACGAACAAUUUGCAACAUGUUCGGAUCGAUGAAUAGCUUAAGGAACAAAGACCGGAUACGAAAGUUACGCAACACAAUGUUUAUCCAACCAAUUAUCUAUGCUAGAACCUGGAGUGAACAUUUCACUUUUAUUCGAAUUGAUGCACGAAUCACACUACCGUGAUGAGGAACACUACCACCUGUUACGUAUACUUGUCUAACAUGUUGUAUUAACAAUUAUAUAUUCUUAUAUAUUUAAUAAGUUGAUGUUAUAAUUCUUAAUACACUAUCGAAAAGCAAUUUCGUGUCAAUAAAAAUGAAAGAAAAUUUAGAAAUUAUUAAAUUCAAGAUACUUUUAAAAAAUACUUUUAUUCAUGUUAAAUUUAAGGAAUAUAAUUAAAAUUAAAAUUAAUGAUAAUUGAUAAUUCCUGAUAAUACAAUAUAUAGAUUGCAAUCAAUCAUUCUCAUGGAAAAUAAUAUUAUUAGCCCAGCAAAAAAUAUUUCUUCUCGAAGAUAGUUAACAAGUGUUAUUACAGAGACAUACAUUCGGACGUAGAGUGACUCCUUGAAUGUGUGGCUGCCAAGUGCCUCUCGCUCUCGUUUUCUCCGCUUCAAGACUUUCGCCAGUUACCGAUUAGAAAUCUUAUGUUUAUUUUUGACGGGUUAAUAAUAGUAUUUUUUAAUCAUGUUACAGCGAAAAGGAAAAAAUUACUAAUACAACCAACACAAAAAAGUUGGAAUAAAACAAUUAACAAAUAAAAGAAGAAUAAAAAGUCAAGAUUGAUCAGAUAAGGAAAGAUCAAGUUAAGACAAAGCUGGAUGAAGCGACAUUAAGGAAGGUCUCAAAUCUAUCCGGAUGGACGGAUAAGGCAAGGACUGAGACCCGUUCUCUCUUCCAGAUUGAAUCAGGAAGCGAAUCGCGUGAUGCUUUGAAAGCAAGCAUUGAUGUAGAAGAUAUCGAUUGAUUCCUUGAACUGUUUUAAAAUUCCUUCGCAACAAUAUCUACUGAAGUUAAUUUGUCACGGUAGUCUGAAAAUCUAGCUCGUCAGUCGAAACAACGAAUCAAGGCCGGCCAGAAACACGUAUCAAGUUGCCAACUGUAUUAAUCCUCUAAUCGAACGUAUUCUAAGGUCGUUUAAUGGCACAUAUCUAUUAAUUUAAUUGCACGUAGUUUAUCUUCUCCCCUGGAGACAUAACAAUUAAUUAUCUCCACGUGAAAUAAGUUCUUUAUGAGAAUUGAGAAUUAUGGAGAAAUUGAGAGAGUGAAUUAUAUCAGAAGAAUAAACCAAUGUAUUACAAGAAA
This 1373-nucleotide long non-coding RNA is filed under the name Apis mellifera (honey bee). RNAcentral describes it as "uncharacterized LOC102655152, transcript variant X2". The record is from RNAcentral. Lineage: Eukaryota; Metazoa; Arthropoda; Insecta; Hymenoptera; Apidae.